This 253-nucleotide ribosomal RNA is filed under the name uncultured bacterium. RNAcentral's name for it is "partial 16S ribosomal RNA". It matches the Rfam family "Bacterial small subunit ribosomal RNA", at positions 524 to 776 of the family's 1533-position model. The record is from RNAcentral.
UACGUAGGGUGCGAGCGUUAAUCGGAAUUACUGGGCGUAAAGCGUGCGCAGGCGGUUUGUUAAGUCAGCUGUGAAAGCCCCGGGCUUAACCUGGGAAUGGCGGUUGAAACUGGCGAACUUGAAUCUGGCAGAGGGGGGUGGAAUUCCACGUGUAGCAGUGAAAUGCGUAGAGAUGUGGAGGAACACCGAUGGCGAAGGCAGCCCCCUGGGCUGAGAUUGACGCUCAGGCACGAAAGCGUGGGGAGCAAACAGG